Molecule: ribosomal RNA, 665 nt
Filed under: Fulvifomes sp. SP-2012c
Lineage: Eukaryota; Fungi; Basidiomycota; Agaricomycetes; Hymenochaetales; Hymenochaetaceae
Description: eukaryotic LSU rRNA
Rfam family: 5.8S ribosomal RNA (bases 249-402)
Source: RNAcentral
CUUGGCGGGAAGGGAUCAUUUAAACGAAGUUUUGAAAAUCGGGGAGGCUUGUUGCUUGGGUGGCGGGAAACCGCCACCGUCGUGCACGGCCUCCCUGUGCUCGAUCCCGUUUCAACCCCCCUGUGCACCUUAAUCGAAGCGACUAGUCCCCUUCUUUUUGUUCGAGGGUCGAAAGCUUUGACUUUCUAUCAAACGCCUUUGUAUGUUUUGUGGCACGUAUCGGCUCCUUUGCGGGGCGAAAUAAAUACAACUUUCAACAACGGAUCUCUUGGCUCUCGCAUCGAUGAAGAACGCAGCGAAAUGCGAUAAGUAAUGUGAAUUGCAGAAUUCAGUGAAUCAUCGAAUCUUUGAACGCACCUUGCGCCCUUUGGUAUUCCGAGGGGCAUGCCUGUUUGAGUGUCAUGUUAAUCUCAAGCCCGCCUUGUCUUUGUUGACCUGGUCGGUUUGGACUUGGAGGCGUUGCUGGCGUACACUUGCUAUGCCGGCUCCUCUUAAUUGCAUUAGCUGGACUUUGGUUCGCAUCGACGGUGUAAUAACAGUAAAGCGUUCGCCGGGUGCUUGCCUAACGGGUCUGCUUCUAAUCGUCUCAGGACAAGGUCGACUUUGACCUUCUCUGUUGCUUUGACCUCAAAUCAGGUAGGACUACCCGCUGAACUUAAGCAUAU